AACCGAGUCUUAACUGGGCGUUAAGUUGCAGGGUAUAGACCCGAAACCCGGUGAUCUAGCCAUGGGCAGGUUGAAGGUUGGGUAACACUAACUGGAGGACCGAACCGACUAAUGUUGAAAAAUUAGCGGAUGACUUGUGGCUGGGGGUGAAAGGCCAAUCAAACCGGGAGAUAGCUGGUUCUCCCCGAAAGCUAUUUAGGUAGCGCCUCGUGAAUUCAUCUCCGGGGGUAGAGCACUGUUUCGGCAAGGGGGUCAUCCCGACUUACCAACCCGAUGCAAACUGCGAAUACCGGAGAAUGUUAUCACGGGAGACACACGGCGGGUGCUAACGUCCGUCGUGAAGAGGGAAACAACCCAGACCGCCAGCUAAGGUCCCAAAGUCAUGGUUAAGUGGGAAACGAUGUGGGAAGGCCCAGACAGCCAGGAUGUUGGCUUAGAAGCAGCCAUCAUUUAAAGAAAGCGUAAUAGCUCACUGGUCGAGUCGGCCUGCGCGGAAGAUGUAACGGGGCUAAACCAUGCACCGAAGCUGCGGCAGCGACGCUUAUGCGUUGUUGGGUAGGGGAGCGUUCUGUAAGCCUGUGAAGGUGUGCUGUGAGGCAUGCUGGAGGUAUCAGAAGUGCGAAUGCUGACAUAAGUAACGAUAAAGCGGGUGAAAAGCCCGCUCGCCGGAAGACCAAGGGUUCCUGUCCAACGUUAAUCGGGGCAGGGUGAGUCGACCCCUAAGGCGAGGCCGAAAGGCGUAGUCGAUGGGAAACAGGUUAAUAUUCCUGUACUUGGUGUUACUGCGAAGGGGGGACGGAGAAGGCUAUGUUGGCCGGGCGACGGUUGUCCCGGUUUAAGCGUGUAGGCUGGUUUUCCAGGCAAAUCCGGAAAAUCAAGGCUGAGGCGUGAUGACGAGGCACUACGGUGCUGAAGCAACAAAUGCCCUGCUUCCAGGAAAAGCCUCUAAGCAUCAGGUAACAUCAAAUCGUACCCCAAACCGACACAGGUGGUCAGGUAGAGAAUACCAAGGCGCUUGAGAGAACUCGGGUGAAGGAACUAGGCAAAAUGGUGCCGUAACUUCGGGAGAAGGCACGCUGAUAUGUAGGUGAAGUCCCUCGCGGAUGGAGCUGAAAUCAGUCGAAGAUACCAGCUGGCUGCAACUGUUUAUUAAAAACACAGCACUGUGCAAACACGAAAGUGGACGUAUACGGUGUGACGCCUGCCCGGUGCCGGAAGGUUAAUUGAUGGGGUCAGCGCAAGCGAAGCUCUUGAUCGAAGCCCCGGUAAACGGCGGCCGUAACUAUAACGGUCCUAAGGUAGCGAAAUUCCUUGUCGGGUAAGUUCCGACCUGCACGAAUGGCGUAAUGAUGGCCAGGCUGUCUCCACCCGAGACUCAGUGAAAUUGAACUCGCUGUGAAGAUGCAGUGUACCCGCGGCAAGACGGAAAGACCCCGUGAACCUUUACUAUAGCUUGACACUGAACAUUGAGCCUUGAUGUGUAGGAUAGGUGGGAGGCUUUGAAGUGUGGACGCCAGUCUGCAUGGAGCCGACCUUGAAAUACCACCCUUUAAUGUUUGAUGUUCUAACGUUGACCCGUAAUCCGGGUUGCGGACAGUGUCUGGUGGGUAGUUUGACUGGGGCGGUCUCCUCCUAAAGAGUAACGGAGGAGCACGAAGGUUGGCUAAUCCUGGUCGGACAUCAGGAGGUUAGUGCAAUGGCAUAAGCCAGCUUGACUGCGAGCGUGACGGCGCGAGCAGGUGCGAAAGCAGGUCAUAGUGAUCCGGUGGUUCUGAAUGGAAGGGCCAUCGCUCAACGGAUAAAAGGUACUCCGGGGAUAACAGGCUGAUACCGCCCAAGAGUUCAUAUCGACGGCGGUGUUUGGCACCUCGAUGUCGGCUCAUCACAUCCUGGGGCUGAAGUAGGUCCCAAGGGUAUGGCUGUUCGCCAUUUAAAGUGGUACGCGAGCUGGGUUUAGAACGUCGUGAGACAGUUCGGUCCCUAUCUGCCGUGGGCGCUGGAGAACUGAGGGGGGCUGCUCCUAGUACGAGAGGACCGGAGUGGACGCAUCACUGGUGUUCGGGUUGUCAUGCCAAUGGCACUGCCCGGUAGCUAAAUGCGGAAGAGAUAAGUGCUGAAAGCAUCUAAGCACGAAACUUGCC
RNAcentral lists this ribosomal RNA (2141 nucleotides) under Escherichia coli. RNAcentral describes it as "partial 23S ribosomal RNA". It matches the Rfam family "Bacterial large subunit ribosomal RNA", at positions 675 to 2798 of the family's 2925-position model. Lineage: Bacteria; Pseudomonadati; Pseudomonadota; Gammaproteobacteria; Enterobacterales; Enterobacteriaceae. The record is from RNAcentral.